ACUUGUCUAGUAUAAAAAUUACUCUAGAUUUCCACUCUAAAAAUCCGCUGGUUAGUGGGGCAAGUA
RNAcentral lists this transfer RNA (66 nucleotides) under Asymmetron lucayanum. RNAcentral's name for it is "tRNA-Gly". Lineage: Eukaryota; Metazoa; Chordata; Leptocardii; Amphioxiformes; Branchiostomatidae. The record is from RNAcentral.